This 253-nucleotide ribosomal RNA is filed under the name uncultured bacterium. RNAcentral's name for it is "partial 16S ribosomal RNA". It matches the Rfam family "Bacterial small subunit ribosomal RNA", at positions 524 to 776 of the family's 1533-position model. The record is from RNAcentral.
UACAGAGGGUGCAAGCGUUAAUCGGAAUUACUGGGCGUAAAGGGCACGUAGGUGGCAAAUUAAGUUGGGUGUGAAAGCCCCGGGCUUAACCUGGGAAGGUCAUUCAAAACUGGUUAGCUAGAGUAUGGUAGAGGGAAGUGGAAUUUCCGGUGUAGCGGUGAAAUGCGUAGAUAUCGGAAGGAACAUCAGUGGCGAAGGCGACUUUCUGGACUAAUACUGACACUGAGGUGCGAAAGCGUGGGGAGCAAACAGG